GAUGAAGAACGUAGCGAAAUACGAUAAUUAAUGUGAAUUGCAGAAUUCCGUGAAUCAUCGAGUCUUUGAACGCACAUUGCGCCUCAUGGCAUUCCGUGAGGCAUGCCCAUCUCAGCGUUAGAAAAUAUUCUCAAAUUUUAGUUUUGUGCUAAAAUUUGGAUCAUGUCAAGGAAGCUAUUACUAUUAUUGUGAUCGCUCUUUGGAAAUUGAUAGGUCUUUGAGUUGCUACUCAUAGAACGUGAUGAAUCUUUCUUCGUUCUAUUGUAAUUCACUCUGGUAGUCCUAAAACUUGUAUGCCUGUGGCAUAUCUUGUAAUUUGACCUGAGAUUGGGUAGGGAUACCCGCUGAACUUAAGCAUAUCAUAAGCGGAGGA
RNAcentral lists this unclassified non-coding RNA (373 nucleotides) under soil metagenome. RNAcentral's name for it is "partial contains internal transcribed spacer 2 and large subunit ribosomal RNA". The stretch from base 1 to 120 matches the Rfam family "5.8S ribosomal RNA", at positions 35 to 154 of the family's 154-position model. The record is from RNAcentral.